This 824-nucleotide ribosomal RNA is filed under the name uncultured bacterium. Its description in RNAcentral is "partial 16S ribosomal RNA". The stretch from base 713 to 824 matches the Rfam family "Bacterial small subunit ribosomal RNA", at positions 1388 to 1499 of the family's 1533-position model. The record is from RNAcentral.
UUCCUGCUCAUCAUAAGCAUCUAUAUUCACCCCUUACCGCUCACAUUAUCGCAUCUCCCCACCGCACUCCAUGGCACAAUCAUCCACCUCCCCCCCCCAUUCACCUCAUGUUGUCCAUCCGAUCACCUACGGCCUGUUCCUACCUGUCGGCCGUCCUCGUGGUCGCUCCCUCACCCACCCACUUAAUCCGUAAUGUCCCACCUUCCCAUCCCUACACAGAUUCAAUCCAAUGGUAGACUCCUCGCUCUAUCUCUCUUUGUAUCCCCAUAUAAUCACGUUCACUUUUCAUUCUGCCCUCCCUCCACCCGUGCUCUUUCUUUCUCUUAGAACACACGCACCCGAGCCCUUCCUCUUACGGCCGCGCCACUGGAGCACCUCGUCCUUGAUCCGGCCCGUCGCUUUCUCCCAUGUUUUCUCCUCAUUAGUUAACCUUUCUCCUCCUCAUGCUUCAACUAACAUCAUGUGCGGGCCCGCCGGCUGGGCGUUGGCCCCGUUUCCUCUCCUCCUCUCAACAGUCUACGCCUUGUCGCGCACGUCGCUCUUGCCUCUCUAAUCUCCCCUAUCCACCGUAAAAACAUCCCGCACUCCCUGCGAUUUCCAAUUAUCCUUCUCAGUUCGUUACGCAUGCUGCAACUCGCUUGCAUGAAGCCGGAUUCGUUAGUAACUCGCAGGUCAGNUAANNUGCGGUGAAUACGUUCCCGGNCCUUGUACACACCGCCCGUCAAGUCACCUGAAUUGUGUGCACCCGAAGCCGGUGGCCUAACCGGAAGGAAGGAGCCGUCUAAGGUGUGGGGAGUAAGGGGGACUAAGUCGUAACAAGGUAG